CUCGCAUGUUGCUGAAGUGCGACUUUGGUAAAGGUUGAGAUGAUGCCACUUGGAGCUAGUGCAACCGUUGAAUGCAUUCUAAUCCUUUGUAUUAUAUGUCUUGACUCCUCAUUUGCUCAUAUAUGUGAGAUGGUGCUAGGUUUUCCUCUCAUUUGUUUUCUGUGUUUUUUCUCUGAAAAAACUUUUGAUUUUUCGUCUGUAAUCUUUGGUUUUUAGAUCUUCUUGGUGAAGUCUAAUGUAGAUUACUUUGUGAAAAGGGUGAUUCUGUUCUUGAGUGAGCAAAUAACCUUUUGUUACUUGAUGUAAUCUGUUGAGUAUAUUCUUGAAAGAAAAACUGAGUCUGAGGGCUAGAUCCUUUGGAUCUUUGAAUUUUGAUUCUUGUCCUUAUAAUUUUUUGCUGGUUUUUAGUGGAUUAGAGCGAAAACCGCUUUAGUGAAUGCUUAGUGUGGUGAUACAUCCGGGCCUUAGGGUAAAAAGCUCUUGGUGUUCUUUAAUUUUCUGUCAUUAAUUUGGUUUUUUCUAAGACUGUUAAUACCAAUUACCAACAAAACUAUGAGGCAGCAAAUGCUCAGUAAUUGUGCAGUUAAGUAUUAAGAAAGAACGAAGACGAGAACAAGCCGCUACACAGUUUGUUCUUGCUGCCAAUUUUGCUGCUUUAAUAAAAGGAUCUUCAAGUAUUAGAGUUUGAAGAUGGGAAUAAUAUCUUCAACAAAACAAAGUAUGCAAUAAUAACUUCGUCGAAAGUUUUGGAGGAGACUUGACAAUAUGAUCAAUGAAACUCUAGAUCAUUCCGGGUUUCAAGAGAUAAUUGGUGGUCAGCUCGCCACAGAAACAUUGAAGGUGAUAUUUAAAUUUUCUAUGUGAAACUACUUGAUUAUUAUAAUUCGAUAUCGUCUUGCAUUUCUUCCCCUAAUUACUGAUAUUCGUUGUACGUUGGUUUGCUAUAGACUAUGCCUUAUCGCACAUACAAAUAUAAGCUGGGCAAAAAGUGUUUUAAGUUGUGGAGUGUAAUUAUUGCAGUUGUGCAGACUCCAUACACAUAUUGACCUCCAAAGGAUAAUUUAGGAAUUUCACAAUUAUAAUUUUGAUUUUUACAAAAGAUAGGAUCUGUCAUUAAGAUUUAAUAUAUCAUCAUCAAAAAGAAAGAGUUUAGAAAAAAAAAAAAAGAGUAGUGUGAGAUUUUUCUCUUGUAAAUUUCUUUUCAUCAUAGUUAAUUAAAGCAUUGUUGGACAAAGACGUAAUCUCAGAUUUAGACGAAGCUCUAUGAAUCUGACGUGUCCUGUGUAUCUUUUCUUUUAGCAACUUUAUUGCUCUAGAUGGUAUAGGAUUAUGAGUUCUAAUUCUCAAUAGAAACUAGAUAUGAAUAUGACUAUUAUAUAGGCACCCAGCUUUCGCUCUUACCAUUUGGUUUCAAGUUUUUGAGAUUUAUUGUCAUAGAAUCAAAAUCAUUCUUGUUUUUGGCUUCUGUCCCACAAAGAAUAUUAUAAAAACAUGUUUUGAAUUUAUUUAGCUGAUCCAUAUUGAUGGUUUCCUUUCAGGUCUUGCUGAGAUGACCAGGUUGGCACAGAAUGAGUUCUAACAGCUAGAAAAUGGUUAUGAAGAUGCAUCAGAAAAUUGGAAUAAUGUUGAAUUAGGGUGUCCCCGGGGGCAUAACCCAAUAGUGCAAAGAACAGGAGUGAGGUAGUCUCAGUCUUGCUGGCAAUUGUAGUGUGAGGGUUCGAUUAUUGAGAUAUGAAAUUGUACUCUCUUUGUGAGCACCAAUGUACGAGCAAGUUAUUGUUCCCUGGCCUGCUGGGGUAUAUCCCACGAUUUACCUCCCUCACGAUACUCCAGGGGCGGGGCGGUGGGGGCCUUCAAAGUUGGAGUUCAACCUUUUUUUUCUUUUUUUUUAAAUGUUGAAUUAUGGCAGUACAUCAGCUGUAUUGAAAAUUUUCGCUGUGAAAAAGUUUAUCUAAUAUGUACUCGAGUUUGUCAGAAUACGUUAUUCAGACCAAGAUUUAUUAUAUUCUUGUCAGGGACUGAUCCAGAAUUGAAUUCAAAAUCGGGCUGAAAAAUUUCAAGCCGGG
Molecule: long non-coding RNA, 2066 nt
Filed under: Olea europaea subsp. europaea
Lineage: Eukaryota; Viridiplantae; Streptophyta; Magnoliopsida; Lamiales; Oleaceae
Source: RNAcentral